GAAGAGCUGACCAGAAACGUGAACAGAGAGACUGCAACUGCACCUGAUGGGAUCCCUGCCAUAACAGUGAAGGCAGUGGAGAAGCCCUACACUGAUCUUGAAACUGUGCCACGCUAGUAGAGACCGGCUACAAGGAUGGGCAGCUGUUUUCGCAAAGUCAGCAACCACUUGCUUC
This is a long non-coding RNA of Oreochromis niloticus (Nile tilapia), 175 nucleotides long. RefSeq lists it as uncharacterized. The record is from RefSeq and is a predicted model, not a curated record. The transcript is spliced from 3 exons. Lineage: Eukaryota; Metazoa; Chordata; Actinopteri; Cichliformes; Cichlidae.